UUUAAUUAUCUUUUAACAGCCGUUUUCCUGAGUAGUGUGAGAUGCCAACUUCCUCUCGUCAGGUGGCGCGUUGCGAACCUAAACAAAUUCUUUGCUCUCGACUGAGAUAACUACAAUUUUUAGACUUCAGCACUGUCUACCAAGGACAUGCCAGAACCAAAUGUUUUUAAAGAAGUGUUGCCCAAACAGGGCCUGCUAUACCAGGAGGACACUCCAACAGUGGUUCUGUGUAAACCCAAACUGCUCCCUCUGAAAUCUGUCUCCCUGGAGAAAAUGGAAAAAAUGCAAAAGGAGGCACAAGAGACAAUAAAACAACAGGAACUGGAGGAACAAUCACAGCAGUCUGACCUUUUAUAUGGAGGAUUUUAGAUGAAAUAACAAUGGGAUCAACUAGUUCUAAAGUCUUAUGGGAUUGUGAGGACUUUUAAAUAACUGAUGCAGCAUAAAGAUUCAACAUUAAAUUCCAAGUCAUCUUAUUAUGGAAGAAAUUUUUCAAAGAUUUCUGUAGGUCUGUUGAUCUUAUCUUCCUCUUCAGUAAAGCUCAAAGUUACACUGGAAUGAUGUGAUAGGAUUAAGCAGUAGCUGGUCUCCUGCUAGUUAUCUCUCCUGAUGAAUCAUCUCCAAACUGGAUAACACAUAUUUUUUUUAACAAUAACUAUUGAUAUCAGUUUGACUUUGAUCUGAAAAUGGAAUUGUCAAGGAUAUUUCAAUUUUAACAACAGUACAUUUUAUAUGUAGUAAAUGUAUUUUAGUACAAGUGUACUGAAAUUUAACUGUCACCAACUUCUAAUGAUUUUGUUAUUGAUGACACUUGUACAUUGUAUUAUUGUACAUAAUACAAAACAUCUGUAUGUAAAAUAAUAAAUAAGUUAUUUAAUUGUU
This is a long non-coding RNA of Pecten maximus, 882 nucleotides long. RefSeq lists it as uncharacterized. The record is from RefSeq and is a predicted model, not a curated record. The transcript is spliced from 2 exons. NCBI's taxonomy places the organism in Eukaryota, Metazoa, Mollusca, Bivalvia, Pectinida, Pectinidae.